AACGAACGCUGGCGGCGUGGAUUAGGCAUGCAAGUCGAACGCGAAAGAGGGAGCAAUCCCUCAAGUAGAGUGGCGAACGGGUGAGUAACGCGUGAAGAACCUGCCUUCAACAGGGGGAUAACACUCCCAACGGGGUGCUAAUACCGCAUGAGACCACGGGUCCGCAUGGACCUGAGGUCAAAGGUGGCCUCUGCUUGCAAGCUACCGGUUGAAGAUGGCUUCGCGUCCCAUAGCUAGUUGGCGGUGUAAAAGACCACCAAGGCGACGAUGGGUAGCUGGUCUGAGAGGAUGGUCAGCCACACUGGGACUGAGAUACGGCCCAGACUCCUACGGGAGGCAGCAGUCGAGAGGCUUUGGCAAUGGGGAAACCCUGACCAAGCGACGCCGCGUGGAGGA
This 396-nucleotide ribosomal RNA is filed under the name uncultured bacterium. RNAcentral describes it as "bacterial SSU rRNA". It matches the Rfam family "Bacterial small subunit ribosomal RNA", at positions 29 to 408 of the family's 1533-position model. The record is from RNAcentral.